RNAcentral lists this Y RNA (115 nucleotides) under Prolemur simus (greater bamboo lemur). RNAcentral's name for it is "Y RNA (ENSPSMG00000019433.1)". It matches the Rfam family "Y RNA". Rfam says of the family: Y RNAs are components of the Ro ribonucleoprotein particle (Ro RNP), in association with Ro60 and La proteins. The Y RNAs and Ro60 and La proteins are well conserved, but the function of the Ro RNP is not known. Lineage: Eukaryota; Metazoa; Chordata; Mammalia; Primates; Lemuridae. The record is from Rfam by way of RNAcentral.
GGCUGGUCAGAAGGUAGGGAGUUAGCUCACUAUUAUUGUUCACAGUCAGUUACAGAUUGAACUCCUUGUUCCACUACUUUCUCCCAUUCUCACUACUUCACUUGACUAGCCUAUA